UUUAGUCUCAGCAAGGUGGACGGCCUUCCCAGAAGCAGUUUGGGCUUGUCUGAUUGGCAUCUGCAAUGAGAAGCAAAGAGCACAAUCAAGUAACCAGGCUCACCCGUCCAAACACACGACCAGCUUUGCUGCGGAUCAGUUCCAGGCUAUCAGGGUUCUUCUUCUGAGGCAACAGGCUGCUGCCAGUGCUGGAAGAAAGGAAUUGGGAGUGUAACGGUGAGCAAGACCCCAGCCUGUGCAGAUGAAGGCUAAGACAUGCAGCACGCUGGCCCAGCCCUGCAAAAGUGAUUUGUAGCCCCCCUUGACUGGACACCUGUCUCAGUGUAGGAAAGCAG
This 335-nucleotide long non-coding RNA is filed under the name Gallus gallus (chicken). The record is from RNAcentral. Lineage: Eukaryota; Metazoa; Chordata; Aves; Galliformes; Phasianidae.